This 621-nucleotide ribosomal RNA is filed under the name uncultured archaeon. RNAcentral describes it as "bacterial SSU rRNA". It matches the Rfam family "Archaeal small subunit ribosomal RNA", at positions 147 to 774 of the family's 1478-position model. The record is from RNAcentral.
UAAUACUCCAUAGAUUAGAGACACUGGAAUGUUCUUUAGUCGAAAGUUCUGGCGCCUUAGGAUGGAUCUGCGGUCGAUUAGGUUGUUGUUGGGGUAACGGCCCAACAAGCCUGUAAUCGAUACGGGUUGUGGGAGCAAGAGCCCGGAGAUGGAAUCUGAGACACGAUUCCAGGCCCUACGGGGCGCAGCAGGCGCGAAAACUUUACAAUGCAGGAAACUGUGAUAAGGGAACUCCGAGUGCCCGUAUACGCGGGCUGUCCAGGUGUUUAAAAAUCAUCUGAAGAAAGGGCCGGGCAAGACCGGUGCCAGCCGCCGCGGUAAUACCGGCGGCUCGAGUGGUGGCCACUAUUAUUGGGCUUAAAGCGUCCGUAGCUGGACCGAUAAGUCUCUUGGGAAAUCCGCCGGCUCAACCGGCGGGCGUCUAAGGGAUACUGUUAGUCUAGGGACCGGGAGAGGUGAGAGGUACUCCGGGGGUAGGAGUGAAAUCCUGUAAUCCCCGGGGGACCACCGAUGGCGAAGGCAUCUCACCAGAACGGCUCCGACAGUGAGGGACGAAAGCUGGGGGAGCGAACCGGAUUAGAUACCCGGGUAGUCCCAGCCGUAACUAUGCGCGUUAGGUGU